Molecule: small RNA, 680 nt
Filed under: Pan troglodytes (chimpanzee)
Lineage: Eukaryota; Metazoa; Chordata; Mammalia; Primates; Hominidae
Description: processed transcript
Source: RNAcentral
GGAGGCGGGAAGAUCUCUUGAGCCCAGAAGUUUGAAGCUGCUACCUACGAUCAUACCUGUGAAAAGCCACUGCGCUCCAGCCUUGGUGACAGAACAAGAUCUGCUUGAGCAUGUGGGAGCCUGCCAGUUCAGGUACAGACAUUCAGCUGUGUCUUGGCAUAACCUGUGAUAUUAAGUGCAUUUGAUUUUUCUUUCUCAGAAUAAUGCAUAUACUGCCAUGUCAGAUUCCUACUUACCCAGUUACUACAGUCCCUCCAUUGGCUUCUCCUAUUCUUUGGGUGAAGCUGCUUGGUCUACGGGGGGUGACACAGCCAUGCCCUACUUAACUUCUUAUGGACAGCUGAGCAACGGAGAGCCCCACUUCCUACCAGAUGCAAUGUUUGGGCAACCAGGAGCCCUAGGUAGCACUCCAUUUCUUGGUCAGCAUGGUUUUAAUUUCUUUCCCAGUGGGAUUGACUUCUCAGCAUGGGGAAAUAACAGUUCUCAGGGACAGUCUACUCAGAGCUCUGGAUAUAGUAGCAAUUAUGCUUAUGCACCUAGCUCCUUAGGUGGAGCCAUGAUUGAUGGACAGUCAGCUUUUGCCAAUGAGACCCUCAAUAAGGCUCCUGGCAUGAAUACUAUAGACCAAGGGAUGGCAGCACUGAAGUUGGGUAGCACAGAAGUUGCAAGCAAUGUUCCAA